Molecule: ribosomal RNA, 607 nt
Filed under: Bacillus licheniformis
Lineage: Bacteria; Bacillati; Bacillota; Bacilli; Caryophanales; Bacillaceae
Description: bacterial SSU rRNA
Rfam family: Bacterial small subunit ribosomal RNA
Source: RNAcentral
CACUUACAGAUGGACCCGCGGCGCAUUAGCUAGUUGGUGAGGUAACGGCUCACCAAGGCAACGAUGCGUAGCCGACCUGAGAGGGUGAUCGGCCACACUGGGACUGAGACACGGCCCAGACUCCUACGGGAGGCAGCAGUAGGGAAUCUUCCGCAAUGGACGAAAGUCUGACGGAGCAACGCCGCGUGAGUGAUGAAGGUUUUCGGAUCGUAAAACUCUGUUGUUAGGGAAGAACAAGUACCGUUCGAAUAGGGCGGUACCUUGACGGUACCUAACCAGAAAGCCACGGCUAACUACGUGCCAGCAGCCGCGGUAAUACGUAGGUGGCAAGCGUUGUCCGGAAUUAUUGGGCGUAAAGCGCGCGCAGGCGGUUUCUUAAGUCUGAUGUGAAAGCCCCCGGCUCAACCGGGGAGGGUCAUUGGAAACUGGGGAACUUGAGUGCAGAAGAGGAGAGUGGAAUUCCACGUGUAGCGGUGAAAUGCGUAGAGAUGUGGAGGAACACCAGUGGCGAAGGCGACUCUCUGGUCUGUAACUGACGCUGAGGCGCGAAAGCGUGGGGAGCGAACAGGAUUAGAUACCCUGGUAGUCCACGCCGUAAACGAUGAGU